GAUGAACGCUGGCGGCGUGCCUAAUACAUGCAAGUCGAGCGAACAGACGAGGAGCUUGCUCCUCUGACGUUAGCGGCGGACGGGUGAGUAACACGUGGAUAACCUACCUAUAAGACUGGGAUAACUUCGGGAAACCGGAGCUAAUACCGGAUAAUAUAUUGAACCGCAUGGUUCAAUAGUGAAAGACGGUUUUGCUGUCAAUUAUAGAUGGAUCCGCGCCGCAUUAGCUAGUUGGUAAGGUAAAGGCUUACCAAGGCAACGAUGCGUAGCCGACCUGCGAGGGGGAUCGGCCAGACUGGGACUGAGACAAGGCCCAGACUCCUGCGGGAGGCAGCAGUAGGGAAUCUUCCGCAAUGGGCGAAAGCCUGACGGAGCAACGCAGCGCGAGUGAUGAAGGUCUUCGGAUCGUAAAACUCUGUUAUUAGGGAAGAACAAAUGUGUAAGUAACUAUGCACGUCUUGACGGUACCUAAUCAGAAAGCCACGGCUAACUACGAG
RNAcentral lists this ribosomal RNA (497 nucleotides) under uncultured bacterium. RNAcentral's name for it is "partial 16S ribosomal RNA". It matches the Rfam family "Bacterial small subunit ribosomal RNA", at positions 28 to 507 of the family's 1533-position model. The record is from RNAcentral.